GACGAACGCUGGCGGCGUGCUUAACACAUGCAAGUCGAACGGAGAGGCCCUGCUUUUGUGGGGUGCUCGAGUGGCGAACGGGUGAGUAACACGUGAGUAACCUGCCCUUGACUUUGGGAUAACUUCAGGAAACUGGGGCUAAUACCGGAUAGGAGCUCCUGCUGCAUGGUGGGGGUUGGAAAGGUUCUGCGGUUGGGGAUGGACUCGCGGCUUAUCAGCUUGUUGGUGGGGUAGUGGCUUACCAAGGCGUUGACGGGUAGCCGGCCUGAGAGGGUGACCGGCCACACUGGGACUGAGAUACGGCCCAGACUCCUACGGGAGGCAGCAGUGGGGAAUAUUGCACAAUGGGCGGAAGCCUGAUGCAGCAACGCCGCGUGCGGGAUGACGGCCUUCGGGUUGUAAACCGCUUUCGCCUGUGACGAAGCGUGAGUGACGGUAAUGGGUAAAGAAGCACCGGCUAACUACGUG
Molecule: ribosomal RNA, 468 nt
Filed under: uncultured bacterium
Lineage: Bacteria
Description: partial 16S ribosomal RNA
Rfam family: Bacterial small subunit ribosomal RNA
Source: RNAcentral